GACAUAGGUGGCAAACGUUAUCCGGAAUUACUGGGCGUAAAGAGUGCGUAGGUGGUUGAAUAAGUUACUGGUGGAAAAUCGGGGCCCAACCCCGUGGAAGUCAGUAAUACUAUUCGACUCGAGGACUGGAGAGGUUAACGGAAUUCUAUGUGUAGCGGUAAAAUGCUCAAAUAUAUAGAGGAACACCAAACGGCGAAGGCAGUUAACUAUUCGGUACCUGACGUUGAGGCACGAAAGCGUGGGGAGCAAGACGG
This 254-nucleotide ribosomal RNA is filed under the name uncultured bacterium. Its description in RNAcentral is "partial 16S ribosomal RNA". It matches the Rfam family "Bacterial small subunit ribosomal RNA", at positions 524 to 776 of the family's 1533-position model. The record is from RNAcentral.